CCUCCACUCUCCCCGCACAGGAGAGUGGACCGAGGCACCCGGCGCUCUCUGCCCUGACCGCGCCACGGUGCCUCCUGUGGCCGGGGGCACCGCACACCGCCGGCCAGGUAGCUCCGGGCUGCGGUGCCGGGCGGGCUGAGGGUCCCGCCCUGGCGC
RNAcentral lists this non-coding RNA (156 nucleotides) under Streptomyces sp. KY70. RNAcentral's name for it is "scr5239". It matches the Rfam family "Streptomyces sRNA scr5239". Rfam says of the family: It inhibits agarase DagA expression by direct base pairing to the dagA coding region, and it represses translation of methionine synthase metE (SCO0985) at the 5' end of its open reading frame. The record is from RNAcentral. Lineage: Bacteria; Bacillati; Actinomycetota; Actinomycetes; Kitasatosporales; Streptomycetaceae. RNAcentral also lists the same sequence under 1 other name.